This 445-nucleotide ribosomal RNA is filed under the name uncultured bacterium. RNAcentral describes it as "partial 16S ribosomal RNA". It matches the Rfam family "Bacterial small subunit ribosomal RNA", at positions 354 to 796 of the family's 1533-position model. The record is from RNAcentral.
GUGAGGAAUAUUGGUCAAUGGACGAGAGUCUGAACCAGCCAAGUCGCGUGAAGGAAGACGGUUCUAUGAAUUGUAAACUUCUUUUGUGCAGGAAUAAAGUGGGUUACGUGUAACCUUUUGUAUGUACUGUACGAAUAAGGAUCGGCUAACUCCGUGCCAGCAGCCGCGGUAAUACGGAGGAUCCGAGCGUUAUCCGGAUUUAUUGGGUUUAAAGGGUGCGUAGGUGGAUUGAUAAGUCAGCGGUGAAAGUUUGCAGCUUAACUGUAAAAUUGCCGUUGAAACUGUCGGUCUUGAGUGCAAAUGAGGUAGGCGGAAUGUGUUGUGUAGCGGUGAAAUGCUUAGAUAUAACACAGAACUCCGAUUGCGAAGGCAGCUUACUGGGAUGCAACUGACACUGAAGCACGAAAGCGUGGGGAUCAAACAGGAUUAGAAACCCGUGUAGUCC